RNAcentral lists this ribosomal RNA (253 nucleotides) under uncultured bacterium. Its description in RNAcentral is "partial 16S ribosomal RNA". It matches the Rfam family "Bacterial small subunit ribosomal RNA", at positions 524 to 776 of the family's 1533-position model. The record is from RNAcentral.
UACGGAGGGUGCAAGCGUUAUCCGGAUUCACUGGGUUUAAAGGGAGCGUAGGUGGGGCGGUAAGUCAGUGGUGAAAUCUCCGGGCUUAACUCGGAAACUGCCGUUGAUACUAUCGUUCUUGAAUAUUGUGGAGGUAAGCGGAAUAUGUCAUGUAGCGGUGAAAUGCUUAGAUAUGACAUAGAACACCGAUUGCGAAGGCAGCUGACGAAACUAUAACUGACACUGAGGCUCGAAAGUGUGGGGAUCAAACAGG